GCCAUACAGCUAAAUCAAGCACAAUCACAAAAUUCGGACAGAUUGCCUUCUCAAACUGUGCAUAAUCUUAGAAAUGAAAAUUUUAGUGCCAUCACCCUGAGAAGCAAAGUCAGAUACCCACUAUGCCACCUCCUGCACCUGCACCUACAUUAACACCUACACCUGCUGAGCUUGAUAAAGAGGAUGAUCUUACUACAUUUAAAAGAAAAAAAGAAGAAUAGGCAGGUACAAGCAGGAAACUUCAUCCAGGC
Molecule: long non-coding RNA, 251 nt
Filed under: Vigna radiata
Lineage: Eukaryota; Viridiplantae; Streptophyta; Magnoliopsida; Fabales; Fabaceae
Description: long non-coding RNA (VRAD_LNC017324)
Source: RNAcentral